ACCUAGGUGGCUCAGUCGGUUGAGUGUCUGACUUUGGCUCAGGUCGUGAUCUCUCGGUUCAUGGGUUCGAAUCCCAUGAUGGGCU
RNAcentral lists this transfer RNA (85 nucleotides) under Felis catus (domestic cat). It matches the Rfam family "tRNA". Rfam says of the family: Transfer RNA (tRNA) molecules are approximately 80 nucleotides in length. Their secondary structure includes four short double-helical elements and three loops (D, anti-codon, and T loops). The record is from Rfam by way of RNAcentral. Lineage: Eukaryota; Metazoa; Chordata; Mammalia; Carnivora; Felidae.